Molecule: ribosomal RNA, 68 nt
Filed under: bacterium
Lineage: Bacteria
Source: RNAcentral
UCCGGUGAUUAUAGCGCAAGGGUCACACCCGAUCCCAUUCCGAACUCGGAAGUUAAGCCUUGUUGCGC